Long non-coding RNA from Galleria mellonella (greater wax moth), 324 nucleotides. RefSeq lists it as uncharacterized. The transcript is spliced from 3 exons. NCBI's taxonomy places the organism in Eukaryota, Metazoa, Arthropoda, Insecta, Lepidoptera, Pyralidae. The record is from RefSeq and is a predicted model, not a curated record.
AUAGUUAUAUUCUGCAUCCACUAAACAGUUGCAUAACGAAUUUGUGAGUCGUCGUUAACAGUUAACAUUAUUUUGCAUCUUGUUCUAUUUUUAGAUAUCAAUAUGAAAGUGUUUGAUGAAAGAUCGUAUUUGAAACCCAGCACGCCACGGACUGGAGAAUGUGUUCCAGGAUGUGAUUGUCAAGAUAUUGAUCUGCAGAAUACUUGCAUGAAGUGACAUUUUCCAAAGAAGUGAACCAUAUCAACCAUGACACUACAAAUUGUUACAGUAUAGUUAUUUAUUAUAAAUUAUUCUAGUAAUAUUUAAUAAAUAUUUAUUAAUUUA